AAAUUAUACAAAUUUCAGCCUAACUUGACUUCUCUUUUGACCUAGGUGUCUGAGUGUAGAGAAAAGCAGGAAGAAAAGCCUGGUUGCUGUUUGCCCUAAAGCUUCAGCAGAUGGAGAACUGAAUGUCAUCUUCCAGUCGCUGCUGGGGAUUUUAAUGGGAAUGUAUCCUACACGAACGUCUUCCUCACCAGCCUGGUCCAUGGGAUGGGCCCUCAGCCUCACCAGGUCGCAUUUCCUUUGGGAUUGCUCCUGACUACGCCGUCUCCAUGCCAGCGGCGGGCAGUCGCGAGGCCGACCUUCAUGGGACCGCUGGGCGCGUCUGCAGCAAAGAGGAAUCUGCUCCUUCCCCCUCGGACUUCACUGAGCCGGAAAACUAC
RNAcentral lists this long non-coding RNA (377 nucleotides) under Neogale vison (American mink). RNAcentral describes it as "Neovison vison (American mink) lncRNA (ENSNVIG00000020324.1)". Lineage: Eukaryota; Metazoa; Chordata; Mammalia; Carnivora; Mustelidae. The record is from RNAcentral.